RNAcentral lists this small RNA (639 nucleotides) under Arabidopsis thaliana (thale cress). Its description in RNAcentral is "putative long intergenic non-coding RNA". The record is from RNAcentral. Lineage: Eukaryota; Viridiplantae; Streptophyta; Magnoliopsida; Brassicales; Brassicaceae.
UGGCAACAAAGAAAGUUUCUCAUGUAUGUCUACGUCGAAGACCUCUUCUUAGUUAUACUCGGUCAGACUUUAUAAUUUUCCUACGCUGCUUCUCUCUAAACAUCACGUAUAAAAUAUGAAUUGAUAUAAAUACACAUAUGCAUGCGUAGAAACUUUGUAACCUACUCCAACAACACAAAUUAAGAUCGAAAUAAAAUGAAGGGAAGCUUGUGGUUGAUUGCUUUGUUUUUGGUUCUCUCUUUCGCGAUUUCAUCUUGUGCAUCUUCAACUUGGCCAUACCAAAUCCGCAAACUUUUGGAAAUAAGAACACCGCCAAGUGGUUCAAGACCAGCACCCCAAUUUCAUUAGCUAGCGGCAAAGAGGAGCUUUAGAGUUUCCGUCGUCUAUGUAUAUGGGUCGUGGUGGUUGAAUGCACCGAUUUGUACAUGAUGUUAAUUAUUUUAUAGUUUAUGGAAGAAACAUAAACCAGGGAAUAAUGAACAAAAAAAUGUAUUUUAAUUAAUAGAUUCCUACAUAAAUGAGCCACGAAUAAAACUAUUAGAAGUUAUAGAUUUUUACGUUACAAAGAUAAUUAGAUUCAUAUAUGCAUGGGAUCAUGAUUUUUGAAAUAAUUUCAGUUAUGGGAAAGAAAGAUGCACG